RNAcentral lists this ribosomal RNA (867 nucleotides) under Triticum aestivum (bread wheat). RNAcentral describes it as "partial small subunit ribosomal RNA". The record is from RNAcentral. Lineage: Eukaryota; Viridiplantae; Streptophyta; Magnoliopsida; Poales; Poaceae.
AUGGAAAACGUCGACCAGUACGUCGCCUCCUACCUUGGUGGUAAUAGACUACGUAGCUUUGCUCAGCGUCCGGCCACUGGAUCCAGAGGGGGCCUCCUCAUGCUCUGGGAUGAUAGUGUCGUUCGCAUAUCCGAUGUCCACAUCACUGAGUUCUGCCUUUCCGCAACAGUCAACGUCAUUCAUUCUGAUACCCCUUUCAAGAUCACUAGUGUCUAUGGUCCAACGGCCUCCAACAAAAAGGAUGAUUUCUUCAGUGAGUUGAUCGCUCAAAAACCCAUCAAUGGCACUAAAUGGAUUGUCAUGGGCGACUUCAACCGGAUUUACCGAGCAUGAGAUAAAAAUAAUAGGAACAUCAAUCGCAGCCGCCUCAACCGCUUCCGUGCUACACUAGACACUUGUGAACUAAAAGAGAUCCACCUCCAGAACAGACGCUUUACUUGGAGUAACGAGCAUCAAAACCCUACUCUGUGCAAGCUGGACUCGGUUUUCUGCAAUGCCGACUGGGACAUGCAUUUUGAUUCUCAUGUGCUUCACGCCAUUUCUUCUUUGCUAUCAGACCAUUGCCCCCUUCUCCUUGCUGAUGACAGGGGACCGAAGCGACCAAGAUGCUUCAGAUUUGAGAAUUUCUGGUCCUGUAUCCCAGGAUUUUUUGACACCGUGUCCAAGGCUUGGGAGGAGCCGUGUGCCCACACGGAGCCAUACCAACGGCUUUUCCAUAAGCUCAAGCAAACGGGGCGUCAUUUGUCUAAAUGGAGUAACAGACUCUUCUCCAAGGUAAAGUUGUAUCUUCAUGCGGCCCUCCUCGUCAUCCUUCGUCUUGACAUUGCCCAAGAGACGCGCGUCCUUUUGGUGGGAGAAAGGGAACUU